Molecule: long non-coding RNA, 525 nt
Organism: Hippocampus zosterae (dwarf seahorse)
Lineage: Eukaryota; Metazoa; Chordata; Actinopteri; Syngnathiformes; Syngnathidae
Exons: 4
Source: RefSeq, a predicted model, not a curated record
UACUGUGACGUAUGACCCGCAUCACCGGAAGUUGUUAGCGGUCAGCCGUCUGCACCUGCAAUUUGCGAUCAGAGCUGUCGCGAUAUCUUCUUUUAAUCAUUACUUUCGGCCCAAGUUUGUUUUCUGUGCGAUUCACCGACGGCACUGGCGACGAAAGGGAAUCUGGAGUACCGGGAGAAGCAUUUUCAAACGGUAUACGUGAGCUACGGUAGUGAACACGCAGCAAAAGUGCGUUCCAUGCCUUCGCGUCACGUCUCUAACUAAGUUCCAUCUGGCCGUUUGAGGGCAGCCAUUGUGCUCACAUGGCCGCAGGGCGGAAAGAAGUUUGGCACCCCUUGCUCCACAUGGCGGGAAGUGAAAGUACAAAUAAUGCAGAUAUUCAGACACUCACUCCUCAAGAAUUGUCAUCUUUUCUCCUUUGUUGAAUCCAAGGUCAUCAGGAUGAACGGCUUCAUAUGGGUUACUGGAGUUGGGAUGGAGCGGAGGCCGUGAUUGGCACGUCUGCCACACAGUCAAAAAGGUCUG